AUGGGAUGGAUUGUUGAUUUCAGAGGUAAGGCCGAGGGAGCAAUGAUGGGUAUGCUGUUGGUGGACCUUCGAAACGAAUGGGCGAUUCAAUGUCUGGUCCUUUUCAGCUUCGCGCUGCAAGUUUUCUUGCUCUUGUUCGCGGGGAUCCGUCGGCACAACGUCUCCUUCGUGCCAAGGCUGCUCCUCUGGCUUGCGUACCAGCUGGCUGACUCAACCGCGCUCUUCACCCUUGGCCACCUCUCCAUCAGCAGCAAGCUGCCGGAGCACCAGUUGGUGGCGUUCUGGGCGCCGUUCCUCCUGGUGCACCUCGGCGGCCAGGACACGUUGACCGCCUACUCCUUCGAGGACAACCGGCUCUGGUUGCGCCACCUGCAAACUCUGGUGCUGCAGGUCAUGGCAGCUGCCUACGUCCUCUACAAGUACAUGCCCAGCAGUGAGACCUUGAUCGUGGUGGCCGCCGUCCUCAUCUUCUUCGUCGGCGUCCUCAAGUACGAGGAGAGGAUACGGGCGCUCCGGUCCGCCAGCUUCGACAGCAUCUGGACCUCUCUCGACAGCAAAUCAGGCACCACCAGCCAAAGCGAAAGCGAUGACAAGCUUUUAUUCCGGGAGUUACUGAAAAGAAGGUUCUCCCUGGAGCUGGACGCGGAGGCCGUCCUUCUCGGAGCUCACGGCCUGCUUGACGACUGCAAGGGGCUAUUCAUCGGCGCCCGGAAAGGGCGGCGCGAGUACGUUCGUGACGUCCUCGAGUCCUUCCAGAUGUACGACCGCCUGGACAAGCUCAUGGAAAUGGAGCUGUCCCUGAUGUACGAUAUCCUCUACACCAAGGCGGGCGUGAUCCACACAUGGUACGGGUACAGCGUCCGUGUCAUCUCCCUGGUGGCCACGCUGGCCGCGUUCUGGCUGUUCCAGCUGAGCGACAAGCAUGGGCACAGCAGGAAAGACGUGGGCAUCACCUACGUAUUGCUGGUCGGGGCCAUGGUGCUGGAGAUGACAUCUGUGGUGAGAGCGGCCGGCUCCACCUGGACGCGCGCCUUCUUGUACUACAGGAAAUGGUACGUGCUCCACGAUGAGCUCCUGGCUCUCCGCCGCCUUGUAAAUGCCGCCGGCUACAGGAGGUGGUCCGGCUCCGUCGGACAGUACAACCUUCUCGAGUCCCGUGCCAGGGACGCAGGAAAGCUGCCACCGGGCCUAGGGCUGGGGCUCAUGGCCGAGGACUGGUGGGACGAGCUGCGCCACUCGCGGUCCGCCCAGCUAUCCAGCUCCACCAAGGAGCUGGUGCUGAGGGAGAUACUGGAGAUGGGGAACCGGGGUGAGGAGAUCGGCUCGCUGCCCGGUCUGUUCACUCUACGGCGUUUCAGUCUGGACAAGUGCGUGGGAUGGAGCGUCCAAGACGUCGGUUUCGAGGACAGCAUCGUGGCCUGGCACCUCGCCACUGACAUCUGCUUGUCCAACGAGCAGGGCAACGACACCAAGGCCGAUGUGAUGAGCGCCAUCCGUGUGCUGUCAAACUACAUGAUGUUCCUCCUCGCGCUGCGACCAUACAUGCUGCCGGGACCUGUGAGGCGCAGCCGCUACAUCCACCACCGACGCGCUUGGCACGAGGUCAUGCUCGGGCAAGGUAGCGAUAAUUCGACACAGGGGCGACUCGCGUCGGCGCUUCGCACGGGCCUCCAUGCUCGAGUCUGCUCCUUGGAUCACCAUGAAGAUUACGACACCGGAGUGAGGCUUGCCGAUGUGCUCUACCACUACCACCAACCCGACUGCCUGGACGUCAUCUUCGGAGUGUGGGUAGAGAUGCUCUGCUAUGUCGCCAACCACUGCAGCAGAGAGUCUCAUGCAAGGCAGCUCAGCAGUGGCGGCGAACUCGUCACCAUCGUCUGGCUCAUGGCCAGGCACGCCAACUUGUCUUAG
Molecule: ribosomal RNA, 1911 nt
Filed under: Triticum aestivum (bread wheat)
Lineage: Eukaryota; Viridiplantae; Streptophyta; Magnoliopsida; Poales; Poaceae
Description: partial small subunit ribosomal RNA
Source: RNAcentral